GAUGAACGCUGGCGGCGUGCCUAAUACAUGCAAGUCGAGCGAACGGACGAGAAGCUUGCUUCUCUGAUGUUAGCGGCGGACGGGUGAGUAACACGUGGAUAACCUACCUAUAAGACUGGGAUAACUUCGGGAAACCGGAGCUAAUACCGGAUGAUAUUUUGAACCGCAUGGUUCAAAAGUGAAAGACGGUCUUGCUGUCACUUAUAGAUGGAUCCGCGCUGCAUUAGCUAGUUGGUAGGGUAAUGGCUUACCAAGGCAACGAUGCAUAGCCGACCUGAGAGGUUAAUGGGCAACAGAGGACGGGAGCCACCGGCAAGGCUCCAACGGGAGGCAGCAGAAGGUAGUGUGCGGAAAGGGGCGAAGCCUUGAGUAAGAAACGCGGGGGGGGUGAUAAAGUUUUUCGGAUCGUAAAACCCUGUUUUGAGGGAAGAACAUAUGUGUAAGUAACAGUGCACAUCUUGACGGGCCCUAAUAAAAAGGCCACGGCUAACUACGU
RNAcentral lists this ribosomal RNA (496 nucleotides) under uncultured bacterium. Its description in RNAcentral is "partial 16S ribosomal RNA". It matches the Rfam family "Bacterial small subunit ribosomal RNA", at positions 28 to 506 of the family's 1533-position model. The record is from RNAcentral.